This 468-nucleotide ribosomal RNA is filed under the name uncultured bacterium. RNAcentral describes it as "partial 16S ribosomal RNA". It matches the Rfam family "Bacterial small subunit ribosomal RNA", at positions 28 to 507 of the family's 1533-position model. The record is from RNAcentral.
GACGAACGCUGGCGGCGUGCUUAACACAUGCAAGUCGAACGGCAAGGCCCUGCUUUUGUGGUGUGCUCGAGUGGCGAACGGGUGAGUAACACGUGUGUAACCUGCUCUUGACUUUGGGAUAGCUUCAGGUAACUGGGGCUAAUACCGGAUAGGAGCUCCUGCUCCAUGGUGGGGGUUGGAAAGUUUCGGCGGUGGGGGAUGGAUUCGCGGCUUAUCAGCUUGCUAGUGGGGUAGUGGCUGACCAAGGCUGUGACGGGUACGCGGCCUGAGAGGGUGACCGGGCACAUUGGGACUGAGAUACGGCCCAGACGCCUACGGGAGGCAGCAGUGGGGAAUAUUGCACAAUGGGCGGAAGCCGGAUGCAGCAGCGCCGCGGGCGGGAUGACGGCCUUCGGGGUGUGAACCGCUUCCGCCUGUGACGAAGCGGGAGUGACGGUAAUGGGUAAAGAAGCACCGGCUAACUACGUG